UUGAAAACUUAAGGCAUUCUUACCUCAUUUUCUCGUGACUGUCCCUUGGUCUUUCUGCUUCAACUCCUUCAGCUCCUUAACUUUCGCUUCAACUCCGUCUCCAUUGUUGCGGUCUCCAUCAUCUCAUCGUCAAGCUCCAAUUUUAAUUUCCAAGAGUGUAAUAAAAUGACUCCAAGAAAAAAAUGGACAGCAAUUUCUACUACUCCUACUAAAAAGUAUAGAAGGAAAAUUAGUACCACAAAGACAGAGAAGAAGAAGAAAGUACCAAAUUAGGAAAGUCCAUAGAAGAAGUUGAAGACACAAGAUUGGAAAAUUCUACAAAUAAAGAAAGAGAAAGUCUAAUAAAUGUUUUUUAUACAAAUAUAGAAGGAGAUGAUAGAGGAGGAACAACAUGAUAUACAUAUUCCAGAAAAGGAGAUUUCUAUUGCUGAGCCUCCUCUGGUGCUCAUACUUUGUCCAUUAGAUAUUAUACGUAAUAUCAACACAAUGGCGCUAAAAGAGUUUUGCCUCUGAAAGUGGGGUUGCACUUUUAUUCACAUGUGACUUCCCACUAGUGAUCAUUGCCCAUGAAAAACAACGGAGUCAUCCUUUUAAUCUUCUUAAUUUUCCCAUUUUCUAGGGAGCUAUGCUUCUCUGCAUUGAGAGUUUGAUCUCUAAAACUCUAAGAAAUUUGAUCUACAUUUCAACUUUAUCACUGACCUAUAAAUUGCAAGGGAGGAUACUUUACCAGUUGUAUCUAAGACCCUUUACUAUUGCAUGGACAAUUUUAUUAGUCAUUGUUUGGGUUAACUUUGUUCCAAUGAUUUAUGAUCUUAGUUGGCA
Molecule: long non-coding RNA, 822 nt
Organism: Solanum pennellii
Lineage: Eukaryota; Viridiplantae; Streptophyta; Magnoliopsida; Solanales; Solanaceae
Exons: 4
Source: RefSeq, a predicted model, not a curated record